CUGGGCUUGACAUGCUGGUGUAAGCCGGUGGAAACAUCGGCCCCUCUUCGGAGCGCCUGCACAGGUGCUGCAUGGCUGUCGUCAGCUCGUGUCGUGAGAUGUUGGGUUAAGUCCCGCAACGAGCGCAACUCUCGCUCCCAGUUGCCAGCGGUUCGGCCGGGGACUCUGGGGGGACUGCCGGCGUUAAGCCGGAGGAAGGUGGGGACGACGUCAAGUCAUCAUGGCCCUUACGUCCAGGGCGACACACGUGCUACAAUGCCUGGUACAGCGCGUCGCGAACUCGCAAGAGGGAGCCAAUCGCCUAAAGCCGGGCUAAGUUCGGAUUGUCGUCUGCAACUCGACGGCAUGAAGCCGGAAUCGCUAGUAAUCGCGGAUCAGCCACGCUGCGGUGAAUACGUUCCC
This 402-nucleotide ribosomal RNA is filed under the name uncultured bacterium. RNAcentral describes it as "bacterial SSU rRNA". It matches the Rfam family "Bacterial small subunit ribosomal RNA", at positions 975 to 1375 of the family's 1533-position model. The record is from RNAcentral.